CGCGUUUGGGGAGAAGCGACAGGUCAGCUCGGCCUCUGAGCCCAGUAGGGCCACCACUGCCUCCUGAGGUGCGAUCACAUCGAAGGGAGCUGCCAGAAUAAAUAAGACUGGAUCCCACAGAUUCCAAGCUGACCUCCAGCUCACCGUGUAGCCUGGAUUCUCUUGCCCUCAACUCUCAACGAGCAUUGCAGGUGUGCACCACCACACCCAGCGUCCCAGUUCCUUUGAUUUAAAACAACAACAAUAACAAAAGCAAAAAACCUGGGGUCUCCCUAUGGUAGCCCCAGCUGGUCAGACUAUCUCUGUGCAGACCAGGCAGGUUUGAAUCCAUAAAGAUCUGCUUUUGUCCUCUUAGUGCUGGAACUGCAGGCAUGCACUACCACCAGGGUGCAUUUUCGUUGAAUCCACUGAACUCUGGUGGAGGUCCCCAACUGGAGCCACACUGGGUCACUGACAUUUACAGGGACCUUUCAUCCUUGCAUCAAAGAGAUGACUAGAACACAGACAUACCUGAAUCCAGCGUGGGCAGCUGCAGGACCAUGAAGGUGAGCAGAUAAGCUAAGAGGCAGGAAUUGGGGGGAACUGCCAUCUCCAACCUUGCUGGGGCAACAGGCUGCUGAUGGAGUCGUCAGGAGCUUCAGGCUGGGAGAUAAAUGGUCAUGCGGUAACUAUUGGCUCUGCAAGGGCCCUGCUCUCCACCAGUUCUUUCCAACCUGGAGCGCACUGUACCUCCCCCAAACGGUAAUUUUUCAGUCCAUGUUACAAGAGUGCCCAUCCACACCCUUCUCUAAGUCCAGUCAGGCAUGCAUAAAGUAGCAAACUCAGUCGUCCAGUCCUCAGUUGUCUCCAGAAGGGGGGUUCUGAGACAGUUUCAGAUAAAUGAAGAAAUGGCGAAAUCUCUUCAUUUACAAGUAGGAGGAGGAGGAGGAGAAGAAGAAGAAAUAGAAUCAAAUCAUAUUGAGUAGAACAUUUCGUUAUCCAUGCUUAGAAAUGAUAAUAAAGAUAAAGCCAUGGAGGUAGACAUGGAUAACAUGAAAUGAAAUGAAGGAGGAGAGAGAAAAUAUGGGAAGGGGUGUUUCACACCUGUAAGCUCAGCACCUGGAGGAUCUCCGUGAGUUACAUAGUGAGCUACAGUCCUGCCUAUCUAAAGAGAAGAGGGGGGCAGCGCUGAGGAGCGUGAGGAGCAGAAAGCCCAGCCCAGAGAAGCUGGACAAAGACAGCUGUGUUGUUCUGUGGCUCGCUGAGCCGAGAGUGAAGCACCUACCCACUUCAGUG
This is a non-coding RNA of Myodes glareolus (Bank vole), 1275 nucleotides long. The record is from RefSeq and is a predicted model, not a curated record. NCBI's taxonomy places the organism in Eukaryota, Metazoa, Chordata, Mammalia, Rodentia, Cricetidae.